UACGUAGGGUGCAAGCGUUGUCCGGAAUCACUGGGUGUAAAGGGUCCGCAGGUCGGGCGAGUAAGUCGGUGGUGAAAUCCCUCCGCUCAACGGAGGAACCGCCUCCGAUACUGCUCGUCUUGAGUUCGAGAGAGGAUGAUGGAAUUCAUGGUGUAGCGGUGAAAUGCGUAGAGAUCAUGAAGAACACCAGUAGCGAAGGCGGUCAUCUGGCUCGAUACUGACGCUCAGGGCGAAAGCGUGGGGAGC
This 246-nucleotide ribosomal RNA is filed under the name uncultured bacterium. Its description in RNAcentral is "partial 16S ribosomal RNA". It matches the Rfam family "Bacterial small subunit ribosomal RNA", at positions 524 to 769 of the family's 1533-position model. The record is from RNAcentral.